UUCCAAUUUCCACAUGUCUCCUUUUGUACGCUUUUUUUGCUGACAAUAAUCAAUUACUCCGUUGAAAUUUGAAUUCAUUCGUUUUAAGUUUAGGUCCCUUUUUGGGCAUAGUAUUUUCUCUUUCGUAUCAUCAAUUGAUUUUGUUAAAGAAGAUCUGUAAGAUUCUGCAUCAUAGAUCUUUAUUAGUAUGUCAAUGCAUAAUGUGCAGUUGAUCAAUAUCAACCGUUUGAAGACAAUUGAUCAGGUAGCUUUGUGUUUUAUUUACUUUUAUGAAAAUAUGAAAUAGAACCUUGUGAAAAUUCAAGGAAGAGAGAUAAAGAAAUAUCAUACAUUUUGACAUAACAUGGUACUGGUAGCAGUAACAAUUUUCCAGUUUGGCUUGAACGAGGGUUUAUCUGAAAUAGUCUCUGCCUCGUAGGGUAGGGUAAGGUCUGCGUACACACUAAAUCUCACUCGUAGAAAUUCACCGACUGUGUUAUUGUUAUUGACUUGUAUGCAAUUGAGGAGCUAAGCAGGGGAGGAUUUGGAGGAUUAUCUACUCACAUGAACUCAAGCUUUUGCUUUUACCAUGUAUAUGUAUUAAAAGAUGAGGGCUUAACCUGAAUAGCCGUUUAUCCAACGGCUUAAUUAAAAACAACUGUCAGAUUAUAAUAUAUAAUAUGUGUAUAACCAUGUAUAAAUAAUAUAUAAUCUUUGUAUACUGUCUAAGAAAAUUAACCAGUAAAUCCGACCGGCUAUAGCCUAUCUGCGUAAAUAUCCUUUAAGUAAAUUCACUAAUAUCAAUAAAUAUUUGAUGUAAAAACUCAUAAUUUUUAAAUCCAGAAAAACCUCCUAGGGAGCCAAGAGAGGUAAUAGCACUUCAUUUCUAACUUUGGAGACCUCAAUAUCCACUUCAAACAGAAGAGGCUAGUUAUUUAUGCCAUAACAAAGUAAAAGGCAAAAAUAAAUGAUUGUGCUUCAUUUUCCUUCCUCUAGGCAAUUGAUGUAAAAAGGAAAUGGGCUGUAACAGGACAUGAUUUGGUCCGAGGCAUGCAAUGGAUCAUGGCCUACCAAUUUUGAUGGUGACAAACAUUCAUCAUUCUUCAUAUAUACACACAUAUUUUUUGACAAUGAGAAGUGUUUUUGGAGUUUUUGAAUUUUUCGACAUACACAUCAAACAUAUCCUACUAUGUAGUAACAGAUUGACAGGGUGAUGUUUUCAUGUGGUUUUCAUAUGACAGGUAGAAAUUUAGUUUUUCCGUGUUAUUUUAUAUGA
RNAcentral lists this long non-coding RNA (1255 nucleotides) under Nicotiana benthamiana. RNAcentral describes it as "long non-coding RNA (NBEN_LNC011624)". Lineage: Eukaryota; Viridiplantae; Streptophyta; Magnoliopsida; Solanales; Solanaceae. The record is from RNAcentral.